Nilaparvata lugens (brown planthopper) is the source of this 991-nucleotide long non-coding RNA. RefSeq lists it as uncharacterized. The record is from RefSeq and is a predicted model, not a curated record. The transcript is spliced from 3 exons. Lineage: Eukaryota; Metazoa; Arthropoda; Insecta; Hemiptera; Delphacidae.
CGUCUGGAAAGGGCUCCAUGCUGGAGAGAUCUGUUAUCGGGUUGGCUGGAGCUGGAGAAGCCUGAAACCUGGAGCCUGCAACUGAAGUCUGACGACAGAAACAAGAAAGCCGUCUGAUCCGCUGUGGGAGGAAUUCGGGACCAAGAAGAAUGGAUAGACGAAGAUUUACAAAGGAACCACUUUCAACAGGCUCAAGGGAUAGUGGGGAGGGAGUGUGGAGUACAUCACCCAGAUUCAGAGAGCUGUAAUUUGGAGCUGCUGUCCUUUCGUCGAAAGCUCAUAAUCAAUGGAUGAUCGUAGUUGAUUGUAGAAAUAAGCUUCACAUAUUGCUUCAUACUGUACAACAAGAAACAUCUCACUGAGCCAAGAAAGAGAAUGAAAUUCCUGCAACCACCCCCAACCGAAGACUGGUGACCACACUCUGGCAUUCGCACACACGCACACUCACCGACAACUGACAGCAGCCUGAUGGAUGAUGGAUAGACAAGGGUGGACAGGACGUUGACAAAGCGAGACUGGCCACAAACCACCCUCUACCAUCUACCAUCUACCCUCUACCUCGCAGCCCUUGAGUAACAACCCCUAGGAGAGCGACAACCACCCCAAGCCUCACCGGACAUGACGGUCAGGUCGGGAGGGGAAGGAAGUGUAGGGUAGUGGGGGGAGAAGGGGCUGAGCCAGAGGGGAAUCCCGACCGAAUCGAAAAACGUCCCUGCAGACAUUACUUUGAUAAAUAACGAAAAUCAAAAAUCGCCGGAUGAAGAAUCAAAUCAUUUGUUUUUUGCUUUGUUUUCCGGUUCUGCAUUUUUCAGCUGUUAUUCUGCGUGACGGUGUUUAUUCAAUGGUUGUCGGCGUGUUGAGGCAUUCGGCACCCUUUCUAAUCAUCAGUGGUCUCCAACUAGAUAUGGGAUUCAUGAGGAACAUAAAAAAGGAGCACACAUCUAUUGUAUCACUUGAAGAAUUUGUAUAAUCAUGAACGAGAAUUCCAUUA